GAGUUUGAUCAUGGCUCAGGAUUAACGCUGGCGGCAUGCCUAAUACAUGCAAGUCGAACGGAGUAGCAAUACUUAGUGGCAAACGGGUGAGUAACACGUAUCUAAUCUACCAUUUAGUGGGGAAUAACUGUUGGAAACGACAGCUAAUACCGCAUAAUAUUGCUGGAUAAUUUCCAGUAAUGAAAGGAGCUUUCAAGCUCCGCUGAUUGAUGAGGAUGCGGCGCAUUAGCUAGUUGGUAGGGUAAUGGCCUACCAAGGCAAUGAUGCGUAGCCGAUCUGAGAGGAUGAACGGCCACAUUGGGACUGAGACACGGCCCAAACUUCUACGGAAGGCAGCAGUAGGGAAUUUUUCACAAUGGGCGAAAGCCUGAUGGAGCAAUGCCGCGUGACUGAUGAAGGUCUUCGGAUUGUAAAGGUCUGUUGUAAGGGAAGAAAUGGUAAAACAGGAAAUGGUUUUAUCUAUGACGGUACCUUACCAGAAAGCCACGGCUAACUAUGUGCCAGCAGCCGCGGUAAUACAUAGGUGGCAAGCGUUAUCCGGAUUUAUUGGGCGUAAAGGGUGCGUAGACGGUUUUGCAAGUCUGAGGUUAAAUUUAGGAGCUCAACUCCUAAUCGCCUUGGAAACUACAAGACUAGAGUAUAGGAGAGGUUAGUGGAAUUCCAUGUGUAGCGGUGGAAUGUGUAGAUAUAUGGAGGAACACCAGUGGCGAA
This 711-nucleotide ribosomal RNA is filed under the name uncultured Spiroplasma sp. RNAcentral's name for it is "bacterial SSU rRNA". It matches the Rfam family "Bacterial small subunit ribosomal RNA", at positions 9 to 719 of the family's 1533-position model. Lineage: Bacteria; Bacillati; Mycoplasmatota; Mollicutes; Entomoplasmatales; Spiroplasmataceae. The record is from RNAcentral.